RNAcentral lists this transfer RNA (79 nucleotides) under Caldivirga maquilingensis IC-167. RNAcentral describes it as "tRNA-Arg". It matches the Rfam family "tRNA". From Rfam's summary of the family: Transfer RNA (tRNA) molecules are approximately 80 nucleotides in length. Their secondary structure includes four short double-helical elements and three loops (D, anti-codon, and T loops). Lineage: Archaea; Thermoproteati; Thermoproteota; Thermoprotei; Thermoproteales; Thermoproteaceae. The record is from RNAcentral.
GGGCCCGUAGCUCAGCAUGGAUUAGAGCGGCGGCCUUCUAAGCCGUAGGACCCGGGUUCAAAUCCCGGCGGGCCCGCUA